RNAcentral lists this ribosomal RNA (466 nucleotides) under uncultured bacterium. RNAcentral's name for it is "partial 16S ribosomal RNA". It matches the Rfam family "Bacterial small subunit ribosomal RNA", at positions 28 to 507 of the family's 1533-position model. The record is from RNAcentral.
GACGAACGCUGGCGGCGCGCCUAACACAUGCAAGUCGAACGAGCGAGAGAGAGCUUGCUUUCUCGAGCGAGUGGCGAACGGGUGAGUAACGCGUGAGGAACCUGCCUCAAAGAGGGGGACAACAGUUGGAAACGACUGCUAAUACCGCAUAAGCCCACGGGUCGGCAUCGACCAGAGGGAAAAGGAGCAAUCCGCUUUGAGAUGGCCUCGCGUCCGAUUAGCUAGUUGGUGAGGUAAUGGCCCACCAAGGCGACGAUCGGUAGCCGGACUGAGAGGUUGAACGGCCACAUUGGGGCUGAGACACGGCCCAGACUCCUACGGGAGGCAGCAGUGGGGAAUAUUGCACAAUGGGGGAAACCCUGAUGCAGCGACGCCGCGUGGAGGAAGAAGGUCUUCGGAUUGUAAACUCCUGUUGUUGGGGAAGAUAAUGACGGUACCCAACAAGGAAGUGACGGCUAACUACGUG